GAUGAACGCUAGCUACAGGCUUAACACAUGCAAGUCGAGAGGAAACGACAUCGAAAGCUUGCUUUUGAUGGGCGUCGACCGGCGCACGGGUGAGUAACGCGUAUCCAACCUGCCCACCACUUGGGGAUAACCUUGCGAAAGUAAGACUAAUACCCAAUGACGUCUCUAGAAGACAUCUGAAAGAGAUUAAAGAUUUAUCGGUGAUGGAUGGGGAUGCGUCUGAUUAGCCUGUUGGCGGGGUAACGGCCCACCAAGGCUACGAUCAGUAGGGGUUCUGAGAGGAAGGUCCCCCACAUUGGAACUGAGACACGGUCCAAACCCCUACGGGAGGCAGCAGUGAGGAAUAUUGGUCAAUGGACGAGAGUCUGAACCAGCCAAGUAGCGUGCAGGAUGACGGCCCUAUGGGUUGUAAACUGCUUUUGUAAGGGAAUAAAGUGAGCCUCGUGAGGCUUUUUGCAUGUACCUUAUGAAUAAGGACCGGCUAAUUCCGUGCCAGCAGCCGCGGUAA
Molecule: ribosomal RNA, 508 nt
Filed under: uncultured bacterium
Lineage: Bacteria
Description: partial 16S ribosomal RNA
Rfam family: Bacterial small subunit ribosomal RNA
Source: RNAcentral